ACUCCUGCGGGAGGCAGCAGUGGGGAAUAUUGCACAAUGGGCGCAAGCCUGAUGCAGCCAUGCCGCGUGUAUGAAGAAGGCCUUCGGGUUGUAAAGUACUUUCAGCGGGGAGGAAGGCGAUAAGGUUAAUAACCUUGUUGAUUGACGUUACCCGCAGAAGAAGCACCGGCUAACUCCGUGCCAGCAGCCGCGGUAAUACGGAGGGUGCAAGCGUUAAUCGGAAUUACUGGGCGUAAAGCGCACGCAGGCGGUCUGUCAAGUCGGAUGUGAAAUCCCCGGGCUCAACCUGGGAACUGCAUUCGAAACUGGCAGGCUAGAGUCUUGUAGAGGGGGGUAGAAUUCCAGGUGUAGCGGUGAAAUGCGUAGAGAUCUGGAGGAAUACCGGUGGCGAAGGCGGCCCCCUGGACAAAGACUGACGCUCAGGUGCGAAAGCGUGGGGAGCAAACAGGAUUAGAUACCCCGGUAGUCCCAUGA
RNAcentral lists this ribosomal RNA (474 nucleotides) under uncultured organism. RNAcentral's name for it is "partial 16S ribosomal RNA". It matches the Rfam family "Bacterial small subunit ribosomal RNA", at positions 335 to 800 of the family's 1533-position model. The record is from RNAcentral.